AUGGUGAAGGAGAGAUUGACCCUGACGCUGGAGAGGUACCACCGCUUCUUCGUCGACCCCUACGCCACCCGCCUCACCACCGUCCACCUCAACAACAUCAUCUACAUGCAUGGUUUCGCCAGGCUCCACGGCAAGAAGUCCCAGAUCAUGGACCACAUGGUGGGGCAGGUCGACCUGCAGCCGCCGCGCCGCUCAACGCUGCACGGUAGCGCCGCGCUCGCGCCGCCCUCCGCCGCGCGGAUCGCCGCCGCACAGGCCUCGGCCGACGUCGACGCCAUCGGCUGGGCGGAGUGCCCCAUCGGCUGCGUCACCGCCUUCUCCGCCUUCGCUGACCCGCCGGACCCGGUGGAGCCCAUGCCCCCGCCCGCCCACCACAUGCUCGCGCUGGCGAUGCCCCUGCGCCGCCCACGCUCCAAGAGGACGCGCACCUCCCCUUACCAGCUCCCUGCCGCGUCCAACACGGCCAAGGUGAAGGAGGAGGCGGUCAUGGAAGAGGAGGGUGAGGAUAUGUCGUUGGCGACGCCGUCGCCGCCGCGAUGGAUGCGCUCCCCUACCCCGCCACCUCCGCCGCCGUCGCCCACGCCGCGGCCACAGACCGUGGUGCCUCCGCCACUAUGGAUGCGCUCCCCUACUCCGCCACCUCCGCCCCCGUCGCCCUCUCCGCGGCCGCAGACCGUGGUGCCUCCGCCUUCGCCGCCGUGCAGGGGCCAGCCUGAGUUGGAGCCGACCCUCUCUCGUCCACCAGGCUUCGGCUCGCCGCCGGAACCAUGCAGGAGCCGGCCUACGCUGGAGCGGAUCCUCCCCACACCACCACCACCAGGCUUCGGCCCGCCGCCGGAACCAUGCAGGAGCGGGCCUACGCUGGAGCCGAUCCUCCCAACACCACCACCACCAGGCUUCGGCCCGCCGCCGGAACCAUGCAGGAGCGGGCCUACGCUGGAGCCGAUCCUCCCAACACCACCACCACCAGGCUUCGGCCCGCCGCCGCAACCAUGCUGGAGCCGGCCUACGUUGGCGCCGCCUCCUACCCCACCACCAGGCUUCGGUUCGCGCCAGGUGGCGCCGCCUCCUCCGCACCUGUCCUGGGGCUUGCCGUUGCGACCGCCGUCGGGCCCAGGAGCGCCUACGUUCACGCAGCAUCUUCAGCCUGCAGGUCCGGCACCACUCUGGCGCUCGCCGAUGUCGCCGUCUUAUCCGGCACCGUGCUGGGGCGCGCCUUCUGGGCCGCCGCCGGCGCAAGCGCCUUGGCGCUGGCCACAUCCACCGCCGCGCUGGGCACCACCUCAUAUGCUGCGCCCGCCGCCGCCACCCUGGGACUGCAUGAGGCCGUUUGCACCUCCUAUGCCGCCGCAACACCCGCCGCAUUUUGAGAUGCAGCAUACGCCACCGGCACCGGGGGCGUGCUCGGGCAGGCAGGUGAUUUACUUCUAG
This 1431-nucleotide ribosomal RNA is filed under the name Triticum aestivum (bread wheat). RNAcentral describes it as "partial small subunit ribosomal RNA". The record is from RNAcentral. Lineage: Eukaryota; Viridiplantae; Streptophyta; Magnoliopsida; Poales; Poaceae.